CCUACGGGUGGCAGCAGUAGGGAAUCUUCCACAAUGGACGAAAGUCUGAUGGAGCAACGCCGCGUGAGUGAAGAAGGGUUUCGGCUCGUAAAACUCUGUUGUUAAAGAAGAACAUAUCUGAGAGUAACUGUUCAGGUAUUGACGGUAUUUAACCAGAAAGCCACGGCUAACUACGUGCCAGCAGCCGCGGUAAUACGUAGGUGGCAAGCGUUGUCCGGAUUUAUUGGGCGUAAAGCGAGCGCAGGCGGUUUUUUAAGUCU
This 260-nucleotide ribosomal RNA is filed under the name uncultured Bacillota bacterium. Its description in RNAcentral is "uncultured Firmicutes bacterium partial 16S ribosomal RNA". It matches the Rfam family "Bacterial small subunit ribosomal RNA", at positions 338 to 590 of the family's 1533-position model. The record is from RNAcentral. Lineage: Bacteria; Bacillati; Bacillota.